Haliotis rubra (blacklip abalone) is the source of this 299-nucleotide long non-coding RNA. RefSeq lists it as uncharacterized. The record is from RefSeq and is a predicted model, not a curated record. The transcript has 3 exons. NCBI's taxonomy places the organism in Eukaryota, Metazoa, Mollusca, Gastropoda, Lepetellida, Haliotidae.
AUGCGGCGUUCAGCAAGCUCCCGACGGCCUACCGAAACAACCUUGACAAUCACGCCAAAUUUCUGAAAAGUACAAUGAUGUACCACAUUCUGAACGGCAUCCACGGUCCCCAUUCCCUGCAUCAGAACGACAUGCUCACCUCCCUAGAGGGAAACCGCAUCCACGUCUCCAUGCAGAACGGUCACGUGCACCAGUUCAACAAGGUCAGCAUCAUGAACGUGGUUCAUGCCACCAACGGCGUCAUCUACGUCCUGAACGGCGUCCUUCACCUUCCAAGCAGCCCUAUUGUAUGAAGCAGA